GAAGCAAGUACUUUGUGCAUAUGUUGGUUGUAACUUGUGCUUUGAGAGUGUUUCAAAAAAAAAAAAAACUUGAUGGUGUACAUCCACAUAUUUGUUACAUACCUUCUCUCCCUUUCAGUCCAAAACCACUGCCACUCAUCUCAUCCGGUUUGAAGAUCAGUACCAACCACCGCCGACGAAGGCAGUCCUAAAACGUUUAAACCCUAAAAUCAAACCUCUCGAAAUACGGUGAGCAAAGAAGUUGUCAAGGUUUAUGUUAAACCUAAGAAAAGGCCAUACCCCUGUUUCUUCGUGUCUUUCUCAGUCAGAGGAUGAGGUGUGGACCCGUUGGGGGCUAUGAUCUAUGAUGAAACUGGUGACGCAAAUUAUGACUUGGUUUACUUAUGUUCCGUGCUCUACCUGUGAACAAUGUGGCAAGCAUCAGGUAGUUUUACAUUUAUGGUUGAAUGGAUAAUAGACCGAUAUGAGGCAAACGGGUCAGUCGCGUAACGGGUAAAAAGACAAACUUUUAUACGGGUAUUAGUUGUGCAAAGAGUGAUCAGUUUCAGCCUUCGGGUUUAUAGAGAUUGAGAUGAGAGAAUAUCACAGACUUUGAUUAAUCAGAUAUCACAUGAGAAAGAAAAUGAUACAUAAGUGUUUUUACGCUGAUAAAGAAGGUUGCAGAAAAGGGUAUAGCUUUGUUUUGUACAUCUUGGAUGUAUAGGUUAGGCGAUGUAACUAUGGAACAUUGGUGUAACAAAUGCAUGGGUUUAUUUGGUAUGACACAUAUGAAUAGCUCACCGCCGUAUUGCGGCGGGUAAUAAAUCCUAGUUCUAAUUAACUUAGCAAAUUUACAAAUCAAACAUGAUUGGUAAUAAUUUUUAUUUCAAUUAUACUAUAUUCUAUUUUUUUACAUAUUUCCUUUCUUUAAAUAGAACUUCUAUGAACCAAACGUCAUUGUGUAUUAUAUUUAAUUAUAUGGAGCUCAUAAAAAUAUUGUGUAUAGUAUAUCUUGCCGUAAUUCGUAAGGUAACAAAAACAAUCAAACAACCUGAAGCUGAACAAAUUAUGAUGAUCCAAAAUGCAUUCG
RNAcentral lists this long non-coding RNA (1069 nucleotides) under Helianthus annuus (common sunflower). RNAcentral's name for it is "hypothetical non coding rna". Lineage: Eukaryota; Viridiplantae; Streptophyta; Magnoliopsida; Asterales; Asteraceae. The record is from RNAcentral.